RNAcentral lists this long non-coding RNA (299 nucleotides) under Chinchilla lanigera (long-tailed chinchilla). Its description in RNAcentral is "lncRNA (ENSCLAG00000022578.1)". The record is from RNAcentral. Lineage: Eukaryota; Metazoa; Chordata; Mammalia; Rodentia; Chinchillidae.
CCUGGCUUUAAAAGGUCGGACAGGCAGGAGUUCCCAGCCUACAACACUCGGCUCACAGCAUCCCCAGGCCUCGGCUCCAGGCUGGCACCAGCCAGUCGGGGUGGGUCCUGUGCAGCUCCCUGGGUCCCUGAGCUUCCAGAGUCUACACUUUCCAUAGUGAGUGUUGUAUAGUUCACAUUCCUGCCAGCAAUGAAGAAAAUUUCCUUCCCCACCUGAACCUCAGCAGCACUUGCUAUAAUUUGACUUCUUAGGCGCGGCCGUUCUUUUUGGGGUAAGAAGGAAUGUCAGUGCUGUUUUAG